UACGGAGGGGGCUAGCGUUGUUCGGAAUUACUGGGCGUAAAGCGCGCGUAGGCGGAUCAGCAAGUUAGGGGUGAAAUCCCGGGGCUCAACCCCGGAACUGCCUCUAAAACUGUUGGUCUUGAGUUCGAGAGAGGUGAGUGGAAUUCCGAGUGUAGAGGUGAAAUUCGUAGAUAUUCGGAGGAACACCAGUGGCGAAGGCGGCUCACUGGCUCGAUACUGACGCUGAGGUGCGAAAGCGUGGGGAG
RNAcentral lists this ribosomal RNA (245 nucleotides) under uncultured Paracoccaceae bacterium. RNAcentral's name for it is "uncultured Rhodobacteraceae bacterium partial 16S ribosomal RNA". It matches the Rfam family "Bacterial small subunit ribosomal RNA", at positions 524 to 768 of the family's 1533-position model. Lineage: Bacteria; Pseudomonadati; Pseudomonadota; Alphaproteobacteria; Rhodobacterales; Paracoccaceae. The record is from RNAcentral.